AAGUCUCUGCUUUUAACUAGAUAGCAACUUUCAGCAGUGGAUGUCUAGGCUCGCACAUCGAUGAAGAACGCUGCGAACUGCGAUACGUAAUGCGAAUUGCAGGAUUCAGUGAGUCAUCGAAAUUUUGAACGCAUAUUGCACUUUCGGGUUCUGCCUGGAAGUAUGUCUGUAUCAGUGUCCGUACACUAAACUUGCCUUUCUUGCGUCGUGUAGUCGUCGCUGGGAAUGCGCAGAUGUGAGGUUUUGUCUUGCUCUGGCUCGAAUUCGUUGGGCAGGAGCAAGUCCCUUUAAAGUCGGACGUGUUUUCUCUCUGCGGUGUGCUGUGUCGGCGCUGGCGGCGCGUGGGACUCUCUUGUCUGUUGACGAGUCUGGCGACCUUUGGCUCGUGCAUUGCGGGGUGUGCUCGAUUGGCGGUAUGUUAGGCUUCGGC
This 430-nucleotide ribosomal RNA is filed under the name Phytopythium litorale. Its description in RNAcentral is "5.8S rRNA". The stretch from base 26 to 180 matches the Rfam family "5.8S ribosomal RNA". Lineage: Eukaryota; Oomycota; Peronosporomycetes; Pythiales; Pythiaceae. The record is from RNAcentral.